Molecule: ribosomal RNA, 305 nt
Filed under: uncultured bacterium
Lineage: Bacteria
Description: bacterial SSU rRNA
Rfam family: Bacterial small subunit ribosomal RNA
Source: RNAcentral
UGUUUCCUACGGGGCUCAGCAGUCGUUCCUAUUGCCCACUUUAGGAAACUCUGAUGCAGUGACACCGCGUAUAGGAAGAAGGUUUUCGGAUUGUAAACUAUUUUAGACAGGGAAGAAAAAAGACAGUACCUGUAGAAUAAGCUCCGGCUAACUACGUGCCAGCAGCCGCGGUAAUACGUAGGGGGCGAGCGUUAUCCGGAUUCACUGGGUGUAAAGGGAGCGUAGACGGCCAUGCAAGCCAGGGGUGAAAGCCCGGGGCCCAACCCCGGGACUGCCCUUGGAACUGCAUGGCUGGCGUGCGGGAG